This 480-nucleotide ribosomal RNA is filed under the name Flavobacterium sp. DB3.3-2. Its description in RNAcentral is "bacterial SSU rRNA". It matches the Rfam family "Bacterial small subunit ribosomal RNA", at positions 15 to 496 of the family's 1533-position model. Lineage: Bacteria; Pseudomonadati; Bacteroidota; Flavobacteriia; Flavobacteriales; Flavobacteriaceae. The record is from RNAcentral.
GAUCCUGGCUCAGGAUGAACGCUAGCGGCAGGCUUAACACAUGCAAGUCGAGGGGUAGAAGUCUUCGGACUUUGAGACCGGCGCACGGGUGCGUAACGCGUAUGCAAUCUGCCUUUCACAGAGGGAUAGCCCAGAGAAAUUUGGAUUAAUACCUCAUAGUAUAACACAACCGCAUGGUUGAGUUAUUAAAGUCACAACGGUGAAAGAUGAGCAUGCGUCCCAUUAGCUAGUUGGUAAGGUAACGGCUUACCAAGGCAACGAUGGGUAGGGGUCCUGAGAGGGAGAUCCCCCACACUGGUACUGAGACACGGACCAGACUCCUACGGGAGGCAGCAGUGAGGAAUAUUGGACAAUGGGCGCAAGCCUGAUCCAGCCAUGCCGCGUGCAGGAUGACGGUCCUAUGGAUUGUAAACUGCUUUUGCACAGGAAGAAACAGCUCUACGUGUAGAGUCUUGACGGUACUGUGAGAAUAAGGAUCGG